Molecule: small RNA, 452 nt
Filed under: Malus domestica (apple)
Lineage: Eukaryota; Viridiplantae; Streptophyta; Magnoliopsida; Rosales; Rosaceae
Description: sRNA MD12G0065600
Source: RNAcentral
GGCGAUAUCCAGGUUAACUUAUUUGAAAAGAACACUUGCCCAACUAGAAGAUGAUGGAAGCCAGAGCAUGUUGAGCAUUGGAAGAACAAUUUGGUUUUGAUGCUUGGCAAUGAGAAACAAUACAAUCAAGAGACCGUCCGUUUCAAGGUGAACUAUAUGAACAUUUUUUUUUAAGCGAGUUAAGAAGAUCCAGCUGAAAAGAGCAUGCAAGAUAGAGAACUGGUGAGUUGCCGGAUGCAUGUGCAGAUUACUCGAAUAGACGAAGCUAAGAAUGACUUAGUAUUGAGUGAGAAAAAAGCUUGGGUCAAUUGGAUUUUGACAUUUGAUUUAUUCAUGUUUUUUGUUGCUUGCAAUGUUCUCUCAUUGUUUGUUCUGAUAUUCUGUGAUCUUAUUUUUCAUAAGAACUGACAUUGGUUUGCCAUAUAAUGUUUCAGGAACUAUUAUACCUUAAU